This 253-nucleotide ribosomal RNA is filed under the name uncultured bacterium. RNAcentral describes it as "partial 16S ribosomal RNA". It matches the Rfam family "Bacterial small subunit ribosomal RNA", at positions 524 to 776 of the family's 1533-position model. The record is from RNAcentral.
UACAGAGGGUGCGAGCGUUAAUCGGAAUUACUGGGCGUAAAGCGCGCGUAGACGGUUUUGUAAGUCAGAUGUGAAAUCCCUGGGCUCAACCUGGGAACUGCAUUUGAGACUGCAUGGCUAGAGUAUGGAAGAGGGAAGUGGAAUUUCCGGUGUAGCGGUGAAAUGCGUAGUUCUCGGAAGGAACACCAGUGGCGAAAGCGACUUCCUGGUCCAAUACUGACGUUCAUGUGCGAAAGCGUGUGGAGCAAACAUU